CUGAGAGUUUCAGGAUGGGCAGCGCAGCAUCGGUCAGCGAGGACGUCCAGUCAGAGAAACUGGUCGAAUCUGCAGCUCUCCAGUCCUCCACUGUGGCAGGACGGAGCGAUGAUGAGCAGCAGGCAGACGUGUCAGAGAGCUCUGAGAAGAAUACUGAGGACAUCCAGUCCCUGAAGAGCCAUGACAUCAACUCACAGAGCAAAGAUGAAGACAGAGCAGCGACAACAGCAGCACCAGUUAGUAAUCCUCGCCCCACUGUGAGCAUGUAUUAAGUAUUCAUGUAGAAGCACAAGAAUAUAUGAGAUCCACGUUUGAGGGUUUUAAUUUAAAAAAAUACGUACAUUUCUAUACAUGUCCUGUUCUCCUUUUUUCUUCAGGCCAACAAUUAAGCAUCACACAGGAGGGAGUGCUGUUGUGCUGAUAUUCAGCACAACAGCACAACCUUUGAGUGUGAAAUUGCUUUUAUACAGCAGUUCUACGAGC
This 483-nucleotide long non-coding RNA is filed under the name Gouania willdenowi (blunt-snouted clingfish). Its description in RNAcentral is "lncRNA (ENSGWIG00000012042.1)". The record is from RNAcentral. Lineage: Eukaryota; Metazoa; Chordata; Actinopteri; Blenniiformes; Gobiesocidae.